AGUGAACGCUGGCGGUAGGCCUAACACAUGCAAGUCGAACGGCAGCACAGGAGAGCUUGCUCUCUGGGUGGCGAGUGGCGGACGGGUGAGGAAUACAUCGGAAUCUACUUUUUCGUGGGGGAUAACGUAGGGAAACUUACGCUAAUACCGCAUACGACCUACGGGUGAAAGCAGGGGACCUUCGGGCCUUGCGCGAUUGAAUGAGCCGAUGUCGGAUUAGCUAGUUGGCGGGGUAGAGGCCCACCAAGGCGACGAUCCGUAGCUGGUCUGAGAGGAUGAUCAGCCACACUGGAACUGAGACACGGUCCAGACUCCUACGGGAGGCAGCAGUGGGGAAUAUUGGACAAUGGGCGCAAGCCUGAUCCAGCCAUACCGCGUGGGUGAAGAAGGCCUUCGGGUUGUAAAGCCCUUUUGUUGGGAAAGAAAAGCAGCCAGUUAAUACCUGGUUGUUCUGACGGUACCCAAAGAAUAAGCACCGGCUAACUUCGUGCCAGCCGCCGCGGUAA
RNAcentral lists this ribosomal RNA (506 nucleotides) under uncultured bacterium. RNAcentral describes it as "partial 16S ribosomal RNA". It matches the Rfam family "Bacterial small subunit ribosomal RNA", at positions 29 to 523 of the family's 1533-position model. The record is from RNAcentral.